AUGCAUAUCACCUGCCUAUUAGGGUUUCCCCCCCCCAAGUCAUGGGACUUGCCCCUUGUUAUACUGGUGGGGGGGGCACCAUAUGUUUUUCAGGGUAGGGCCUCUGAAGGUCUUGAUCCGGCCCUGGUGCCAUUGGUUCCUCCUGCUCAGGGGACAGAAAGCCGCCCCCUCGGCCCCUCAGAGGAGGCGCCCAAGACCCGCAGGGCCCUUUCGCAGCCCUUCCGGGGGCCCGACGGAGCGAAGCCGUCUCUCCGCCACCCGGUCAGCGACUCCCUCACCCCACCCCGGGCCACGAGGCAGCGGCCCGGCAGCAGCCCCGGACUUCUCCCCGGCGCCCUCCCGGUGCCUCCUGGUACUGCUCGCCCCGAGGUCUCCUGGCAGCCCCACUCUCUCCACACACACACCCGCGCGCCCCCAAGGCUGUGCUCUGCCAGCUGCGGCCUGGCUCCACACAGGGACCCGUGGCCAGCUGGCCUGGCACCGAGCCCUCUCGCCCUCCCGACACGGCCCCGGGAGCGGAGCUGGCGCGGGAGAGGAGCAUCGCGGAGGGGGGCUCAGGUGCCCCGCGUCCCGCCCAGGCCUGGGAGCAGGUUCCGGGCAGCGACCCUGCCGGCCUUGCCUCGCUCUCGGCCGGAGAGAAGGAGGCGGCCUCCCUGCGCGGGCGCUGAGCGGGGCUUGGGAGCGCGCCCGGCCCCUUUCCUCCUCCCUCCCUCCCUCCUUCCCUCCCGCCGGGGCACGGCCAUCUCUGGCUCCACCGGCGGCAUCUGCCUCUGGCGCCUCUUGCAGAAGCCACGGCUCCGCCCCGGGCUCGACGCCGCCCAGGUGGGGCCGGCCGACGGACUAGAAGCAUCGCCGCUUCCCCGGAGGCUGUGUGGCCAGGGAGCCGCCCGCCCGCCCGCCCGCCCGCUCGGCGUUCCCCUCCUUGCGGAGGCUCUUCCGAGGCGCGGUCCGGCCGACGGGGCCCGGCGGCUCCCCGACGGACCAUGUUUCAGCGGCACCACCGCAGCCGAGUGA
Molecule: long non-coding RNA, 1014 nt
Filed under: Pogona vitticeps (central bearded dragon)
Lineage: Eukaryota; Metazoa; Chordata; Lepidosauria; Squamata; Agamidae
Description: lncRNA (ENSPVIG00000003668.1)
Source: RNAcentral